CGAGCUGAGACCUCCAUCCUCCUCUGCCCUCGGACACUGAUGCUCCUUGUUUUCUGGCUUCACACUUGGACUGGGGUUCACACCAAGGCUUUCCUGGAUCUUCAGCCUGCAAAUGGCAGAUUGACUGCAGCUGGUAAACCCACGUGGUAUAGAAAAAUUGUUACUCCUGCCUCUAGUAGUAACUGUCCUUCCAGUAUAUGCUGGGAAAUAUGCUAGAACCAGGAAGACAACAGUGAACACAAGAAGUACAAUUCAUGCCCUCAUGGAGCAGCAGUCUCCAGUCAGAGAGAAAGUGUGGAUCAAAUAAUUACAAACACAAAUAUAAAUACUUCGUGAAAAUCCUGGUAAGUGCUGAGGAAGAGAUGCACAGGUGUUAAACAGGGUAACUUGGCCUAUCCUGAGACGGUACUGAGGAACUAACGAUUGAACUGACAACUGCGGAUGAGGAGUUAUGGGUGGACAUGAAAUGGAUGAGACCUGCAGAAGGAAGAAGCGCCCCCAGGGAAAGGUAUUCAGUCAGCAAAUAUUGAUUUGAACUGUGGUGCUGGAGAAGACCCUUGAGAGUCCCGUGGACUGCAAGGAGAUCAAACCAAACAGUCCUAAAGAAAAUCAACUCAGAAUACUCAUUGCAAGGACUGAUGCUGAAGCUGAAGCUCCAAUACUUUGGCCACAGGAAACUGAAAGAGGCCCUGGGGCUAAAGCACCACGGGCUGAGCUACAGCCGCCCCAAGAUGGCGCGAAGGCCCUUCCCCUCAGCUCCUGCACCAGGCUCUCUUCUUCACUCAACGACAUUAAGCCUGGGUUUCAGAACCCCUCCAGGGUUCCCUGAUUGCUUCUAGGAGGAGCUCACUUUUCCCAACACUCCUAGACAUCAUAACUUGGAAGAGUUUGGAAUCCCAAGGAAGUUCUAGAAUGACUCUACUUAACUAAGGAUAUUCAGUCAGCAAAUAUUGAUUUGAACUGUGGUGUUGGAGAAGACUCUUGAGAGUCCCUUGGACUGCAAGGAGAUCAAACCAGUCAGUCCUAAAGAAAAUCAACCCUGAAUAUUCAUUGCAAGGACUAAUGCUGAAGCUGAAGUGCCACUACCUUGGCCACCUGAUGUGAAGAGCUGACUCAUUGGAAAAAGAGCCCAAUGCUUUUGGAGAAAGCAUCUUUCCUCAUUGGAAAGACUGAGGGCAGGAGGAGAAGGGGGCGGCAGAGAAUGAGAUGGUUGGAUGGCAUUGCCGACUCAGUGGGCAUGAGUUUGGGCCAAACUCUGGGAGCUAGUGAAGGACAGGGAAGCCUGGGGUGCUGCAGUCCAUGGAGUUGCAGAGAGUUGGACACGACUGAGAAACUGAACAGCAACCUGGAGUGGGCAAUGCGCUGUGGAGAGUCCUGCAAGGAAUACUAAAGCCAGACAGCCUCCAAUCUCAACAUGUUUACAAUCUAACGUGCUCAAUCUCACCCGCGGGUUAUUACCCAAAAAAGCACCCUGCUGCUUGGCCCAGGCAGCAUGGUGGUCUGGCUGAGAAAUGGAUGUUCCCAGUGAAGCUGGGAUGGGGGAAUUGGAAAUUAGUGUGUUGGCAGGGAAGGGAGAGAGAUUUUCCAAUUCUGUCACAUGUGAGUUAAAAUCCUCUGAAGAAAUCUGGGACAAUUAUCUUUUCAAGAUUGGAGUUAGAAGAACCGGGCCGGCUCAGAGACCCGGGUCAAGCACACAGGCAGGACCCUCCCCAGGUGGCAUGCCCUGCCCUUGUGUAAUCCUUGUUUCCCCUGCCCCAGCUUCUGGAGAGGCCUGCUGUGGAGAAAAGGGAGCUGGGUAUGCCAUCUUGCAUUUGCUGAUGCAAUAUCAGCAGGCACUCCCACUGCCCUUGGGCCCCUCAGGCAAAUGCUGCCCUAUUUCCUAUAACAUAUGGGUUAAACGACCCAAGCCAGUGGCCUUGCAGUAUCUUUUAUCCAAAGAGUAAUUGUUUUAAAAAAAAAAAAUGUGGAGGAAGAAGAAGAGCUCUAAAGAGUAUGUUUCUCCCCACUAGCCCAAGUGAUCCUGGCAUGACCCAGAGAGAGCUUUCCGCAGGGUGACCUUCAACCAGGCAGUUACUCUGUCACUAGAAAGCUGAUCUGCCAUGAAUAGGGGCAUAUUCUCAGAGUCCAUGGGCACUUCAGUAAAAUAAAAAAUGAGAACAUAUAAAUACUCAUGUCUUCUGAUGCAAUGAUUCCAGACCUAGCAAUUUGUCCCAAGGGGAAAAAAGAUUUAUUUUGGCUCCGCCAUGUGGCAUGCAGGAUCUUAGUUCCCUGACCAGAGAUUGAACCUGUGCCCCCUGCAGUGGAAGCAAAGAGUAAACCUACUGGACUGCCAGGGAAGUCUCAAAAUAACUUUUUUAGAUAUACACACUUAAGGCUAUUUGUUGCAGAGGAAAAUAAGGAAUCAAUCUAAUAAUAGAAAAUAUUAAAUCAGCAGAUAUCAGCUCAGCAGACUCACGUGUUCAUGGGCUUUGAUGCCACUGAUAUGAUCAUGUUUUUGCUCUCGGUAGUGGAUACUGGAAGGCUGCCUUCACUCCCACUUCCCCAGAGCACUCUGAUUUCCACCUGGGUGAUCAUUUUCCCACAAAACACAGUGUCUCGGUAGAAUGCGUGUGCCUAC
Molecule: long non-coding RNA, 2617 nt
Organism: Bubalus bubalis (water buffalo)
Lineage: Eukaryota; Metazoa; Chordata; Mammalia; Artiodactyla; Bovidae
Exons: 2
Source: RefSeq, a predicted model, not a curated record